This 2622-nucleotide unclassified non-coding RNA is filed under the name Hevea brasiliensis (rubber tree). Lineage: Eukaryota; Viridiplantae; Streptophyta; Magnoliopsida; Malpighiales; Euphorbiaceae. The record is from RNAcentral.
AUUUCAAUACAUCUUGGAUCCAACUAAAUGAACUGCUCAGAAUUCAAAACAAUUUAUGGAUCCCGAAAAUAACAGAAUUAAAGAAAAAAGGAAGUGCACUGGCAGCUGAAGUAUCACGAGUUCAAUUUAUUGGAAGAACUACGCAAAGGAUUAGCCUGGAUAUAAUAUAUCGAGUGAAACCAGCAUCACAUGGACUAUCAUAUCGAAAAUGAAAUCACAAUCAAAUGGUGCUGUCAGGAUAUCAUUCUGGUACAUCAUCGAGAAGUAUGCUGAAGAAAGAGCACAUUUUUUGAAAAAAUAUAUAUAUACUCGUGUUAAACUAGACCAACUGCUAAACAAUUUGAAUUAUAAUGGCUCAUGAUGGUCUAAAGAGGAGCAGUAAUCAUACUUUAGAAGUGCUGUCAGAAUGCAGUUCUACGCGCAUUUGUUCAACGAGUAGUUCUUCAAUAGCAUCCACAAAGCUCAACAAGUUUAGCUGCACGUUUACGUCCCAGUAGUUCACCACUUCCUAAUAAAUUGAAAUUACACAACCAAAGAGGGGAAAAGAUUAAUAGAUAAACCACUAUGUAUAAACCUUGUUACAAACAUUUUUCCAAGAUGUUCAAAAAUACUAACCUUUUAUCGGAAUGUAAACUGCAGACAUGCAUACAUCACCAGUAAAAGUUACUCUUACCAUGAUUGUUAGUUUCAUUUAUCGGUACCAUUUCCUAUAUCCCUAUAUUAAGAACUCAAGAUCAUAUUCAGCAGAAUUACUUAAAUGGGCCUAAUGCAUGAUUAGAUUUGUUUAAUAUAGAUAAAAGGCUUGAAUAUUGUCUGCGCACUGUAGGUUGUGGUAACGAGAACUCUUAUCAAUGUAAAUUAGAUAAGCUGCAAUACAAUUAGCUUCCAAUAUUUUCCAAAAAAAAAUAUAAUAAAACAAAAUUCAUAAUAUAAACUACCUUCAUCACCAGAUCAAAAUGUCAAUGAAUUUCAGCAAAACCAGUGUUUCUUCAAUGUCAACCUGACUUUUUUAUCCAUGAUUUAUUCAAUGUAACUUCAUUGGACUGGAUUAAAAACUCUCACAAUCAUUUAAAUAAUACCAAUUUCCAAGUAACACAUAAAGUUUCAACUUCAUUAAUUAAAGAAUUUUUUAGCCGAAUGACUUGAAAAAUCCUGUACUCUCCACCCAAAUACAUGAUUCCUAUCUUGACAACAGACUUAUGCCCCCUUGAGCUAAAUGAUUUUCUUAAACUACAGAUACACAAAUAAAAUAUAUUGAUUGGAGGUUCGUAUUUUUAAUUAAGAACUUGGAAACUAUGAAAUUUUCAGGCACCAAUUAAAAAAUAAAAAUUUUAGCACGUGAUACUUUUCAGUUCAUCCAAAAGCAAGACAGAAGAUAUGAAUGCGCACCUCAACCUUGCAAAGAAGGCUUAAUGAAAUUUCUUUCGAAUGGUGAUCUGAGCUUUUGAGGGACAACACCUUCAGUGGAGAUCUUGCUAUGGGCCAACCUUGACUUAACUUUAUGAAUGCAUCAACUCCCCCAACCAAAUGAGCAACAAUUGUCUCAUCCCUAUCCAAGUACUCAAACGAAUGCCUUGAUUUAUCUGCAUGCUUCACCACCAAACGUCUCAAGGUGCACUGAAUGAUUCUAUCUUGCACUUUUCUGACAAACCACUCCAACGAAGACCUGGUCUCCAUGGAUGAGUGUGAAAAUAAUUGCCUGAAAGAUUUUGCAGCAUCAAUAAUAUCAUUUAUGUACACAUCAUUUGGAAAAAUCUCAGCAUUCUUAAGCUCCAUGGUUCCAUUAACUACUUCUAUCAGCAAUUCAUGAUUUACUUCAGAAGGCUCAGCAGCUCCUUCAAUCUUUUGUUGGCACAAUAAAUCUUCUAAUUUAGGAAGAUAUGUCCGCAAUGACAAUCUAAUACAGAUCCCAUCAAAUUCAAUGACUUUUAGACCUGAUAAUGUAUCGUCAAUUUGUUCUACAGCAUCAAUCCUUUUGAAUAUGGAAUCAAGAUCCUGUAAAGACUUCAACAUUACUUUGCUUUCCUCAAUCUGAUUAUCAAGCUUUAAAAACUCAAACUCACAUUCUCCAGGUGCAUUUGUUGAAUUUAAUUGCUCUUCUCUGCAACCAUGUUCUUUUCUUUUCUCCGCAUCCUGUGACGAUAUAAUAUCUAAAGAACAUUUCAACAAUUCAAUAUCACUCUCCAGUUGAGUAAAAUCUUCCACAUGAUUUCUUGUAAGAACCUCAAUUUCACUGGAUAUCUUGGUACUCUCAGCCUCUGCCGUGUUGAGUUCCUCUUUCAGAUGCUCUAAAUCUUCAAUCCCUAAGAAACUGAAGUCAGAGCACUCGGUCAUAAUUUGCUCAACUUUGCUCUCGAUCUGAAGAGCACAAUCUUUCAGUAAUUGGUCUGAAUCUGAAGGGGACAUUUCAUUGCAAUUGCUGUAAAUUUCUUCGAGCUCUCUUAAUUCACUGCGAAAGGUGUCGAGAUCAAGAGGUUCUGAAGAGGGAACGGCUUCCAUCUCGGGCGAAAUCCAAUCUCCCGCUCAAGCGAUGCGAUGAGGUAGACCGUGACAGGCAGGAAUUUGCUUUGGUGUUAUUAGUGUAAAAACGUUUGAAAGAACAUUUAAAAAUGGAGAGGGCGG